AUCCAGCUGACUAAUUCUAAAUAGAACGAAAUUCGCGUCCUGGAU
This 45-nucleotide non-coding RNA is filed under the name Schistosoma haematobium. Lineage: Eukaryota; Metazoa; Platyhelminthes; Trematoda; Strigeidida; Schistosomatidae. The record is from RNAcentral.